CCUUUCUGCUCGAGCCUCCGUACCUCUGCACUUUACUUCCACAGCUCCUCUGAGUCUCGUAACAAAAUGACUUCUGGAGGCUGGCUUCUUCAUCCUCCAUGAGAAGGAACAAGAAAUCUGUCCCUAUGUGGAAAACUAGAGCUUUAGCUGUGUUCCUCUCAGGAUAGCCCUGCCUUCAUCAGUUUGAGAGUACUUUUCUGACAUUAAUAUAACCAUGACACUUUAUUGUUGUUAGUCUUUGCAUGGUAUAUUUUCCAGCCUUUAAGUUUCUUUUUAUUUCUCAUUUCAUUCUCCUUCUUAAUCAGUAAAUUAUGUUCUUUAUACAAGUUUGUAUGCAUGAUACAUUUUACAGCUCAAUAAUGGGAGAAAAGCACAAUAAAGGGAUGUUUUUCUUAUUGAAAAUUACUUUAAAGAUGUUUCAAACAGAAAUGAGUAGCAAGGAAAAUAAGAACCAUUAAAAUUACUAGUAAUACGCAUUAUUUUUCCUUUGCUAUUAGCUGUUAACAUAAAAACAUUCAAACCUGUAAAGAAUUUUUGUGAGUU
Molecule: long non-coding RNA, 543 nt
Organism: Myotis lucifugus (little brown bat)
Lineage: Eukaryota; Metazoa; Chordata; Mammalia; Chiroptera; Vespertilionidae
Exons: 3
Source: RefSeq, a predicted model, not a curated record